This 685-nucleotide long non-coding RNA is filed under the name Parus major (Great Tit). Its description in RNAcentral is "lncRNA (ENSPMJG00000013714.1)". Lineage: Eukaryota; Metazoa; Chordata; Aves; Passeriformes; Paridae. The record is from RNAcentral.
GCAUCAACAUCCACUGAAGAACCAGAGAAGUGUGAGGGCUGGUACAUCUCACACAGUGCAAAGCACAAAGACACCCAGCACAGAGAGAAGCUAGGAUGUGAGUUUUUUCAGGAAGCUCAGGUGCCACCUCGUGUUCCUGUGCAUACCAUAAAAUACAAGAUCUCGAAGAUCAAAGUUUUCACUCCACCAGCGGGAAACAGCUGGCACUGCUCUGGGAAUCAGGGCUGUAGGUCCCCUUCCAAAGCAUGCCACCUACCUGUUCUGGGAUUUCUGUGGAUGUACCGUGCCCUGCAAGACGGAUUUGUUCCCACAUCUUGUGGGAUGAAGCUGUUAAAGCUCAAAGUCAGGGCUGGCCCCAGAACCCGCAUGCCCUGCCUACAUCUCUGUACAGUGCCUGGGACUCCAUGGCUUUAUUACAAUGCAAGCACUAAUUAACAGCCCAAGCAGGCUUUGUGCAACAGUUGCCAAGCCAAGUUCUUUGCCAUGAGCUGAAUCACUUGCCCUGCUUAGUUUUAAGUUCCUCGUUUACUGCAAUGUAGUAAGGUAUAUCACACAAAUUUUUAGAGGCACAGCUCCACUCCACUAGUUAUUUGGAACAGCAGCAAGUCAUCAUAUGCUUGUCCCUGUGCUCUGAUGAGCUUUGAACUUUAAUAAAUGAUUAAUCCUAUUUAGAAGUAACUUAGCA